This 200-nucleotide long non-coding RNA is filed under the name Homo sapiens (human). Its description in RNAcentral is "HSALNT0393550". Lineage: Eukaryota; Metazoa; Chordata; Mammalia; Primates; Hominidae. The record is from RNAcentral.
AUGACAAAAUGGUGGCAGCCAUUCUAGACUGACACGCCACAGCAGCUGGAAGAAAGACACGAUCUUUUCCUCUGAUGCCUCUCUCAGAAGCAAAACCAUACAAACAUUUUCUAAUAAAAUGAUAUGUUGCCUGAGAGUCUCUUAAGAAUACCGCAGGAGUGGAGGAAGCAGGUGUUGAAUUUGGAUAAUGGGUAUGUGAG